RNAcentral lists this small RNA (450 nucleotides) under Vibrio chagasii. Its description in RNAcentral is "cspA". It matches the Rfam family "cspA thermoregulator". Lineage: Bacteria; Pseudomonadati; Pseudomonadota; Gammaproteobacteria; Vibrionales; Vibrionaceae. The record is from RNAcentral.
CUCGCUCUGUUAGCCGGAGUUAUUUAAGUUAGAUGAAUAGUAAAAAAUUGACAUGUAAAAUCGUUACCCGUUUUUGUAAGUAGUUUUUCCUUAUUUCUUAGCAAUAUUAAAUAAUUCAAUUAUCAGCGCAUUGCAUUGAAUGCAAUCAACAAUUUAGAAAAUUUAUGAAUAAGGGACAAAUUAUGUCUAACACAAAUACUGGCACUGUAAAAUGGUUUAACGAAGAGAAAGGUUUCGGCUUCAUUUCUCAAGACAACGGCGGCGCUGACGUAUUCGUACACUUCCGUGCUAUCGUUUCUGAAGGCUUCAAAACUCUGAAAGAAGGCCAAAAGGUUUCUUUCGAAGUUGAAAACGGUCAAAAAGGCCUACAAGCAGCAAACGUUGUUGCUCAAUAAUUAGCAUUUAGCUAAAAAGAAUUUUAAAGCGCUGAUUUUUAUCGGCGCUUUUUUC